This 94-nucleotide transfer RNA is filed under the name Planctomycetota bacterium. RNAcentral's name for it is "Planctomycetes bacterium tRNA-Sec". It matches the Rfam family "Selenocysteine transfer RNA". Lineage: Bacteria; Pseudomonadati; Planctomycetota. The record is from RNAcentral.
GGGAGUGUACGCGGAUCUGGUGACCGUCGCGGGCUUCAAACCCGUUGUGGCGGCUGAAAAGUCGCCGGGAGGGUUCGAUUCCCUUCCACUUCCG